UAUAAAUAGAGAGGAGGCUACUACCGUUUUGAUCCCCCUUCAUCUGCAAACUUCACGUGCUUUCUUUCUCUUCAAAUUACAACUUGUGUCUUAAAAAACCUCUGUUCUUCCCCCUGUUUCAUCUCCUCACACCCAAAUUGAUUUUUUUUUUUCUCCAACUUUUUAUAUCAAAAUUAAAUUUUUAAUUUGAUAUAAUUGAAUAUAUUCAAAGAUGGCAUCAAAGAAAUCAUCAUCAUCAUCAUCAAAGAAAUCUAGUUAUAAUGGUUCUUCAUCUGGUGCUGUUCCUGCAUCUUCUUCCAUAGCUGACCUUUUUAGUCCAAAGCCUUCUGCUUCUUCACACCCACAUUCUUCUUCUUCGUCUUCUUCCUCUUCUAGCAUCUUUGGCUCCGUUUUUGGCCCUUCUUCAAUGGGAAGAGGAAGAGACUCCACAAAUGCUAAUAUAACGAGACAAUAUGCUACCUCUGGCCAAGAGAGCCAUUGGGAGAGUGGAAUGAAUUCUUAUUAUCAACAACAAACAGUUGAUCAACCUUGCAAUUUUAGCAACUCAAUCUAUUAUGGUGGCCAAGAAGUUUAUUCUCCUACUACUCGUUCUAAUGAAUAUCAUGUGUUCAAGAAAGAUGAGCAAGAUGAUGAUCCCAACAGUGCCUCAAGAGGAAAUUGGUGGCAAGGCUCACUUUAUUACUAGUAAUGGAGGCUCUUAAUAGAUGUUUAGUUACCCCUCUUAAAGUAAGUAAAGGAAUUAUAUGAAGGGGGGACUUCUGCAUCUUCUUAGCUAGCUUUAUAAAUUCUAGAAGAAGAAGAUUUAAUAUUAUAAUAUACCAUAUAAGUUCGAGAAUCGGGUCUUGUCUCGAGUACUACUUUUCAGAUUAGACCCCGAGUUCGAUUCUCACUUAGUUUUUUUUUCCUUAGUCUGCCCUGUAACAAAAAAAAUACCAUAUAAGUUGAAAAUCGAGUUUUUUCUUAAGUACUACUUUUGUGAUCAGAUUCGAGUUCGAUUCUCACUACCCCUGUAACCAAAAGAAAUACCAUAUAAGUUGAGAAUCGGGUUUCGUUUCAAGUAGUACUUUUCAGAUUAGACCCUGAAUUCGAUUUUUACUUAGUCCUCUUCGCUUAGCCUACCCUGUAGCAAAAAAAAUACCAUAUAAGUUAGUAGUCUUAGAACACAGCUUAUAUAUACCUGAAUCAAGUUGCUGGAGUAUGUUUUUUCUACCAGUUAUCUUGGAAGGCAUAGCUUAGCUUAUUAGAGCUUAUUAUAGCUUAUUAGAGCAGCUUUGUCUAACAUACAUUUAGUUUUUAGUUUGUAAUGCUUAUAGUAUGUGAUGAAUAUGAUGAAUUCUCCUCUGUAUACAGAGUUGGUAUUAUUAAUAUAUACUUUAUACCUUUAUAUUUAUUAAAUUGGUUUGUAUGAUGUUUUUGUUAUAAUGUUGAGUUGAUAGUGUAAAAAUAAGACCGCAUUGUAUCGGCUUCAUUGUAAAGGUUUUUUAAACAAAGGAACUGAUACUUUCCACGUAUUUGACCAUAUCAAGGAAUAUCUUAUGAUUUAAACCAAAAUUUCAUCGUUACGGUAACUGCAUCAAACCAGAUACUGCA
This is an RNA transcript of Amaranthus tricolor (Joseph's coat), 1590 nucleotides long. RefSeq lists it as uncharacterized. The record is from RefSeq and is a predicted model, not a curated record. The transcript has 6 exons. NCBI's taxonomy places the organism in Eukaryota, Viridiplantae, Streptophyta, Magnoliopsida, Caryophyllales, Amaranthaceae.